GCCCGCCCCCACCGGGCCGGGCAGGAGGCGCUUCCGCGGAGCGGCGGGAACCGGACCCGAGCGCGGCGCUCUCCGCUGAAGAAUGAGACCUUCACCUAAACUGAUGGAAGCUGGAGUCAUGCCUAUCAUGCCGUCAAGAAACACGGGAGCAUUAACCAUAUCCGAUAGGACACCAAGGCUGUAGACUACUUCACACCUCACUGGUUUCUAACAGAUUUUUCAAUGGAAGCGCAAGCCACUGCUUUGGAGAUGUAGGACUCUGAACAAAAGGCUUACGUUUCUUCAUUCUCCUCUCCAUUUUCCUUGGAGGCAUUGGCAGAUCACUGAAGGUGCACCGGCUAAGAGCAGCGCUCUGUUAGAGUGGCCUGAGGCAUAGCCCAGGGUACCCUCUGCACACUGGGAUCCUGGUGCACGCCUGAGCUCACUUCCAAAGCCAGGAACCUGUGAGUGCCCCUCUAUUCGAUGCCAGCUGGGGUGACAGCCUCUGCACUGUGGUGGAGAGCCCACUUGGAGAACCAGGAAAGCUUUACUCACAUAGUCCCUGGCUCCCCAGGGCACCCCAUAUACCUUUGUGUGAUAUGUACCUUUGCUAAACAGCUUUCCUGGGCAGUCUCGUGAAAAAAAAACAGGGUUGCAAAACAGUGGAAUGAGUACAGAGAGAAAGCAUGAGAGUAUGUGCAUGCAUGUGUGUGCGUGUGAGGGUCAGGGGUUGUGCAAUCUUCCCCAUGUUCAGCUGUGACCUUGUCCUGGCUUAUUUAGAUGUCAUUUCUGGGCUCAUGCCCCCCAUCACAGUAAAAACGGGUGUGAUUUCCUAGGUGUUGGCCUUAAACAGGCUGUGCAAAAGAAAUCUUGAGGUUGAGGCACUUCUCAUCCCUGCUCUUUCUCCCUCUCCACCCUUGUUCAUGGGAAAUAACUUACAGUGUAAAAUCUUGAUCUGACACUUCUCUGUGGUCUCUUCCUGGCCCAUUUCAUGACCUGUACCUGAUGCUGCAUAGAAGCCUCCAAGAGCAGAGACUGCGUUUGCUGUCACAUUGCUGCCACAAUGCUGAUGUGUUAUUAACUGUGUUAUACUUCUGUAACACGAGUUUAAUAAACUGAAAUGCAAAAA
Phalacrocorax carbo (great cormorant) is the source of this 1108-nucleotide non-coding RNA. The record is from RefSeq and is a predicted model, not a curated record. Lineage: Eukaryota; Metazoa; Chordata; Aves; Suliformes; Phalacrocoracidae.